Molecule: long non-coding RNA, 381 nt
Organism: Branchiostoma belcheri (Belcher's lancelet)
Lineage: Eukaryota; Metazoa; Chordata; Leptocardii; Amphioxiformes; Branchiostomatidae
Exons: 3
Source: RefSeq, a predicted model, not a curated record
GCCGAGAACGCAUUUUGCGCAAAGCAUGCUGGGUAGCAGAGUGAACUGUCCUGGGGACGAGAGUUUGUGGCGCGGGCGGACGCUGCCAGAUUUGGUCGGCGAGAGUCGCCAUAUUUGCAUGACAGUCGUCGAUUUUUGAGGUGUGGCCAGAGACGUUCAGACUUCUUGUACUGACUUGAUGGAAGGGAGCAGUGUUUGAAAUUCAGAAAUGGAUGAUUGUGACUCGUCAUCGGAUGAUGAACCACUGGCCAGGUUGCUACCACAACACUCCCCAUCAACAACCCCAACGAAGAAAAUUGGGACAUGCAAAGAAGCGGCAUCUGAGGACAGCCUGCCAGUGGCCAGCUUGCUACCGGAGCAGUCACCACCACUAGCAACUAC